CCUACGGGAGGCAGCAGUGAGGAAUAUUGGUCAAUGGUCGGGAGACUGAACCAGCCAAGCCGCGUGAGGGAUGAAGGUACAGAGUAUCGUAAACCUCUUUUGUCAGGGCACAAAGGCGGGGACGUGUCCCCGGAUGAGUGUACCUGAAGAAAAAGCAUCGGCUAACUCCGUGCCAGCAGCCGCGGUAAUACGGAGGAUGCGAGCGUUAUCCGGAUUUAGUGGGUUUAAAGGGUGCGCAGGCGGUCUGUUAAGUCAGCGGUCAAAGCCCGGGGCUCAACCCCGGCCCGCCGUUGAAACGGGCAGUCUCGAGUUGGAGAGAAGUAUGCGGAAUGCGCGGUGUAGCGGUGAAAUGCAUAGAUAUCGCGCAGAACUCCGAUUGCGAAGGCAGCAUGCCGGCUCCACACUGACGCUGAGGCACGAAAGCGUGGGUAUCGAACAGGAUUAGAUACCCCAGUAGUC
Molecule: ribosomal RNA, 459 nt
Filed under: uncultured bacterium
Lineage: Bacteria
Description: partial 16S ribosomal RNA
Rfam family: Bacterial small subunit ribosomal RNA
Source: RNAcentral